Medicago truncatula (barrel medic) is the source of this 549-nucleotide long non-coding RNA. RefSeq lists it as uncharacterized. The transcript has 2 exons. The record is from RefSeq and is a predicted model, not a curated record. Lineage: Eukaryota; Viridiplantae; Streptophyta; Magnoliopsida; Fabales; Fabaceae.
CUUAAGAGAUAUUUAGUAAUGAUUAUAAUUUUAGGAAGAUUGUUAACAUCUUCAUAAGAUAUGAAAACUAUCUAAUGUACGUAAGGCAAAAAAUAAGUUUCAUAAAUCAUAAAUUUAUAAAAACAUAUUCUAUCUCUUACAUCGAAAGAGGAGAAAAUAUGACUGAAAUUGUCAAAUUUGUUAAUCUUAUGAUUAUUUUGCUUUCAGUAUUUAUUGUUGCAAUGAACGUUGAUGCAUUUGAAAUAUGUGGAAGCAAUUCAGAUUGUCUAUGGGAAAAAUGCUUGCCUCCUAAUAAACAUUGGUGCAAUAUGAUUGAGACGAUUAUGUUCGAGGGAUUUGCGAUGGGCAAAUGUGAAUGCAUUUGAGUGAAUGUGCCUAUAAUAUUCUGUUAGAAAUUUCCAUAAGUUCUCAUUUAUAAGAUUAUGGUAGGCAAAUUUCCAAUAAUUUGUAUUUACUUCCCUUUCUAAUUUCAUGGAUCCGGAAUAAUUUGUAUUUUAUUUCUGGUCUGUUGCUAUUUCAUCAGUUAAAAUACAAGUUUUAUUUUUCUCA